GCGGUCGUGUGCAGAAUUCAAGAAAAUGACUUCGGCUGUGAAAAUUUUUCCGUACUUCCUUCAUUCGAAACUCAAACUCAAAAGUAAGGGGACUAGUUUUGGGUAUAAAAUCCCCCCCCCAACCAAAGUUCGUGUCAGGAGUGACCCCUCAAGGAUUCUACCGGCGUCCGACCUUCGGCGACAUCUUUCCGACGGCCGAGCCUCCGCAGCAUUCCCAAG
This 219-nucleotide long non-coding RNA is filed under the name Elaeis guineensis (African oil palm). RNAcentral's name for it is "long non-coding RNA (EGUI_LNC051602)". The record is from RNAcentral. Lineage: Eukaryota; Viridiplantae; Streptophyta; Magnoliopsida; Arecales; Arecaceae.